AUGUCUUUUUUUUAGAUAUUAAACACAACAUACACAUAACAAUUCACUAUGAAAAUACAUAACAAAUUACAUGAUAAUAAAAUAUUAAGAUAUUCCAAAAUGUUCACAAGAAGUUAUCUACAUUAGGGUACAAACAGAUGAAUCAGUCAAAGACAUUUACAGCCAGAUGUGCCUCCCUCCUUGUCACUUAAAAUUACUUUGAAGCAUCUGGUGAGACCAACCCACCAAGGUUCAGGCAACAAAACGUUUCAGGGGGUCAACAAGAAAGACGGACAAGGAGGGAACACGACUCCUAGAUGAGUUGUCUCAUCAAUGUCAGACACAAUGCUGAACGGAGCCAGUGCAUACACCCCCGUCAUCCAUCUCACCCCCGAAGACACA
Long non-coding RNA from Etheostoma cragini (Arkansas darter), 381 nucleotides. RefSeq lists it as uncharacterized. Lineage: Eukaryota; Metazoa; Chordata; Actinopteri; Perciformes; Percidae. The record is from RefSeq and is a predicted model, not a curated record. The transcript has 3 exons.